Molecule: long non-coding RNA, 679 nt
Organism: Sapajus apella (tufted capuchin)
Lineage: Eukaryota; Metazoa; Chordata; Mammalia; Primates; Cebidae
Exons: 3
Source: RefSeq, a predicted model, not a curated record
CAAAUUAUACCGUUCAAAGCAACACAUCAAGUGGUGCAUUUAGAGGUGUUGGUCGAGGUCUCCGAGGCCACAUGACUAGAGGAGGGGUGAAGUCCGAGAGGACAGUCAGGGGAAGGUUGAGUGUCGGUUGAGACAGCAGGUCAGCCAAGGGAAGGAGGUGGCCAAAGUACUAGAGAAAACCUAGGGGAAGGAGGUAGUGAGGGCUGAGAGGUCACGAGGAGAUUCUCUAGGUACUAGAGGAGACUCAUGUGAAGGUGACAGCUAAGGGAGGCCACCAAGGUAGAGAAGGUGGCCGAGGUGCCAGUGGCCACUAAGUGGAAAAGUAGGCUGAAGUCCAGGAGGCCACACAGCUGAAGGAAAAAGAUGAGGUACCCCAGGAAAGAGAGCCAGAUGAGGUGAAUGGGGUCUCCCAGGAUAGACAGAUGUAUGAGGUAAGUGAGGUCCACCUGGACAGACAGAUGGAUGAGGUGAAUGGGGUACCCCAGGACAGACAGAUGGAUGAGGUGGAUGGGGUCCCUCAGGACAGACAGAUGGAUGAGGUGGAUGGGGUUCCACAUGACAGACAGGUGGAUGAGGUUGAGGUACCUCAGGACAGACACCUGGAUGAGGUGGAUAAAGUCCCAUAGGAGGUGCGGCUGGAGGAGGUGCUGGAGGUCCCACAAAACAAACAGUUGGAAGA